RNAcentral lists this ribosomal RNA (103 nucleotides) under Neottia acuminata. RNAcentral's name for it is "4.5S ribosomal RNA". The record is from RNAcentral. Lineage: Eukaryota; Viridiplantae; Streptophyta; Magnoliopsida; Asparagales; Orchidaceae.
UAAGGUCACGGCGAGACGAGCCGUUUAUCAUUACGAUAGGUGUCAAGUAGAAGUGCAGUGAUGCAUGCAGCUGAGGCAUCCUAACAGACCGAGAGAUUUGAAC